Long non-coding RNA from Arabidopsis thaliana (thale cress), 325 nucleotides. RefSeq annotates it as other RNA. The record is from RefSeq. The transcript has a single exon. NCBI's taxonomy places the organism in Eukaryota, Viridiplantae, Streptophyta, Magnoliopsida, Brassicales, Brassicaceae.
UCAAAAUGCCAAAUCUCUAAUGAUGUGGGGUGGGGGUACAUUUACUCAAAUCAUGGCAAUGCCUAAUUUGUGAGAUCAUUUUUCAGGUCUAUGAGUUUGUUUUUGUAGCGUCUACAGUCCUUGAUCUUUUUUACUUUGUCUCAAGGACCAAGAUCGAGAAUAAAGAAAAUGAUGAGGUGAUUGAGUCAGACCUCCACAGAAUCACCAAGUAUGAGGAAAAAACAUUGGAGGCUCAAACUGAAAGCUAACAUCGAGAAGGGCAUUGCUUUUGCUGCAAAGGACUAACAACCAUGCCAAAUGAUUCGACCUCCACAUAAUCUCUUUU